Molecule: long non-coding RNA, 2786 nt
Organism: Cyprinus carpio (common carp)
Lineage: Eukaryota; Metazoa; Chordata; Actinopteri; Cypriniformes; Cyprinidae
Source: Ensembl
CAACAGAGACUUCCACAAACACUACUACUGAUGAAACAUCCACCACUAGUUUAUCAGAAACAUCUACAACAACAGAGACUUCCAUAAUCAUGACUCCUGCUGAAGCAUCCACCACUAUUGCAGCAGAACCAUCAAAAACAACAGAGACUUCCACAAUCAUGACUCCAGAUAAAACAUCCACCACUAGUGCAAUAGAAACAUCUACAACAUCAGAGACUUCCACAAUCAUGACUCCUGCUGAAACAUCCAUCAGUAGUUUAGUAGAAACAUCUACAACAUCAGAGACUUCCACAAUCUCCACUCCUGAUGAAACAUCCACCACUAGUUUAGCAGAAACAUCUAUUACAACAAAGACUUCCACAAUCAUCACUCCUGAUGAAACAUCCACUACUAGUUUAUCAGAAACAUCUACAUCAACAGAGACUUACACAAUCAGCAAAAACAUCUAUUACAACAAAGACUUCCACAAUCAUCACUCCUGAUGAAACAUCCACUACUAGUUUAUCAGAAACAUCUACAUCAACAGAGACUUACACAAUCACAACGCCUGCUGAAACAUUUACAACAACUGAGACUUCCACAAUCAUGACUCCUGCUGAAACAUCCACCAGUAGUUUAGCAGAAACAUCUACAAAAACACUGACAUUCACAAGCACGAUACCUGAUGAAACAUCCACCACUAGUUUAGUAGAAACAUCUACAACAAUAGAGACUUCCACAAUUACAACUCUUGAUGAAACAUCUACCACUAGUUUAGCAGAGACACCUACAUCAACAGAGACUUCCACAAUCACAACUCCUGAUGAAACAUCCACUACUAGUUUAGCAGAACCAUCUAUAACAACAGAGACUUCCAAAAUCACAACUCCUCAUGAAACAACCACCACUAGUGCACCAGAAACAUCUACAACAACAGAGACUUCCACAGUCACGACUCCUCCUGACACAUCCACCACUAGUUUAGCAGAAACAUCUACAACAACAGAGACUCCCACAAUCACGACUCCUGCUGAAACAUCAAUUACUAGUACACCAGAAACAUCUACAUCAACAGAGACUUCCACAGUCACGACUCCUCCUGAAACAUCCACCACUAGUUUAGCAGAAACAUCUACAAAAAAACAGACUUUCACAAUCACAACACCUGAUGAAAUAUCCACCACUAGUUUAGCAGAAACAUCUACAACAAAAGAGACUUCCACACUCAUGACUCCUGAUGAAAUAUACACCACUAAUGUAGCAGAAACAUCUAAAUCAACAGAGACUUCCACAAUCAUGACUACUGAUGAAGCAUCCACCACUAGUGCACCAGAAACAUCUACAACAACAGAGACUUCCACAACCAUGACUCCUGCUGAAACAUCCACCACUAGUGAGGCAGAAACAUCUACAACAAUAGAGACUUCCACAAUCAUGACUCCUGAUGAAAUAUACACCACUAGUGUAGCAGAAACAUCUAAACCAACAGAGACUUCCACAAUCAUGACUACUGAUGAAGCAUCCACCACUAGUGCACCAGAAACAUCUGCAACAUCAGAGACUUCCAUAAUCAUGACUCCUGAUGAAACAUCAACCACUAGUGCACCAGAAACAUCUACAAUGUCAGAGACUUCCACAAUCACGACACCUCAUGAAACAUUCAGCACUAGUGCACCAGAAACAUCUACAACAACAGAGACUUCAACAAAGACGACUCCUGAUGAAACAUUUACAACAAAAGAGACUUCCACAAUCAUGACUCCUGCUGAAGCAUCAACCACUAUNNNNNNNCUAGUGCACCAGAAACAUCUACUACAAAAGAGACUUCCACAAUCAGAACUACAGCUGAAAUAUCCACCAUAAGUGAAGCAGAAACAUCUACACCAACAGAGAGAUCCACAAUCACAACAGCUCCUGCUGAAACAUCCACCACUAGUGUAGCAGAAAUAUCUUCACCAACAGAGACUUUUACAAUCACAACAACUGCGGCUGAAACAUCCACCACUAAUGCAGUCGAAAGAUAUUCAACAACAGACACUUCCACUGUAAUGACUCCUACUGAAACAUCCUCAACUAGUACAGAAAAAACAUCUACAAUAACAGAGGCAUCCACAAUCCCAACUCCUGCUAAAACAUCCACAACUAGUGCAACACAAACACCUACAACAACAGACACUUCCACUGUAAUGACUCCUACUGAAAAAUCCACCACUAGUGCAGAAAAAACAUCUACAAUAACAGAGGCUUCCACAAUCACAACAACUUCUCCUGAAACAUCCACCACCAGUGCUGCAGAAACAUAUACAACGAGGGAGACUUCCACAAAAAUAACAACUCCUGCUGAAACACCCACCAUUAGUGCAACAGAAACAUCUACAACAACAGACACUUCCACUGUAAUGACUCCUACUGAAACAUCCUCAACUAGUGCAGAAAAAACAUCUACAAUAACAGAGGCUUCCACAAUCACAACUCCUGCUGAAACAUCCACUAUUAGUUUAGCAGAAACAUCUACAACAACAGAGACAUCCGCAAUCACAGCAACUCCUGCUGAAACAUCCACUGCUAGUGCAGCAGAAACAUCUUCAAUAACAGAGACUUCCACAAUUACUAUUCCUGCUGAAACAUCCACCACUAGUGAAGCAGAUAUAUCUAAAACAACAGAGACUUCCACAAUCACAACAAUUUCCGCUGAAACAUCCACUAUCAGUGCUGCAGAAACAUCUACAACCACAGAGACUUCUACAAUCACAACUGCUUCUGAAACAUCCACUACUAGUGUAGCAGAAACAUCUGCAACAAUGGAG